AUUGAACGCUGGCGGCAGGCCUAACACAUGCAAGUCGAACGGUAACAGGAAGAAGCUUGCUUCUUUGCUGACGAGUGGCGGACGGGGGAGAAAUGUCUGGGAAACUGCCUGAUGGAGGGGGAUAACUACUGGAAACGGUAGCUAAUACCGCAUAACGUCGCAAGACCAAAGAGGGGGACCUUCGGGCCUCUUGCCAUCGGAUGUGCCCAGAUGGGAUUAGCUAGUAGGUGGGGUAACGGCUCACCUAGGCGACGAUCCCUAGCUGGUCUGAGAGGAUGACCCGCCACACUGGAACUGAGACACGGUCCAGACUCCUACGGGAGGCAGCAGUGGGGAAUAUUGCACAAUGGGCGCAAGCCUGAUGCAGCCAUGCCGCGUGUGUGAAGAAGGCCUUCGGGUUGUAAAGUACUUUCAGCGGGGAAGAAGAGAGUCAAGUUAAUACCUUUGCUCAUUGACGUUACCCGCAGAAGAAGCACCGGCUAACUCCGUG
Molecule: ribosomal RNA, 490 nt
Filed under: uncultured bacterium
Lineage: Bacteria
Description: partial 16S ribosomal RNA
Rfam family: Bacterial small subunit ribosomal RNA
Source: RNAcentral